GUCAGGAUGGCCGACGCGUCUAAGACGCGCUAAGUUCCCGUCGCAGUCUCCCCUGGAGGCGUGGGUUCAAAUCCCAUUUCUGACA
Ameiurus melas (black bullhead) is the source of this 85-nucleotide non-coding RNA. NCBI's taxonomy places the organism in Eukaryota, Metazoa, Chordata, Actinopteri, Siluriformes, Ictaluridae. The record is from the annotation of a GenBank genome assembly.